This 240-nucleotide unclassified non-coding RNA is filed under the name Alternaria sp. RNAcentral's name for it is "partial internal transcribed spacer region". The stretch from base 1 to 46 matches the Rfam family "Eukaryotic small subunit ribosomal RNA", at positions 1786 to 1831 of the family's 1831-position model. Lineage: Eukaryota; Fungi; Ascomycota; Dothideomycetes; Pleosporales; Pleosporaceae. The record is from RNAcentral.
AAGUCGUAACAAGGUCUCCGUAGGUGAACCUGCGGAGGGAUCAUUACACAAAUAUGAAGGCGGGCUGGAACCUCUCGGGGUUACAGCCUUGCUGAAUUAUUCACCCUUGUCUUUUGCGUACUUCUUGUUUCCUUGGUGGGUCCGCCCACCACUAGGACAAACAUAAACCUUUUGUAAUUGCAAUCAGCGUCAGUAACAAAUUAAUAAUUACAACUUUCAACAACGGAUCUCUUGGUUCUG